RNAcentral lists this ribosomal RNA (503 nucleotides) under Geogenia pondoana. Its description in RNAcentral is "partial 16S ribosomal RNA". It matches the Rfam family "Bacterial large subunit ribosomal RNA", at positions 1808 to 2606 of the family's 2925-position model. Lineage: Eukaryota; Metazoa; Annelida; Clitellata; Crassiclitellata; Microchaetidae. The record is from RNAcentral.
CAAAAACAUUGCUUCUCGACACAAACAUAAGAAGUACCUCCUGCCCAGUGAUAAUAUUCAACGGCCGCGGUAUCCUAACCGUGCAAAGGUAGCAUAAUCAUUUGCCCAUUAAUUGUGGGCUAGAAUGAACGGAUAAACGUAAUAUAACCUGUCUCAUUUAGUUGCAUAAAAAUUAACAUUCAGUUGAAGAUGGCUGAAUAUAAUCGAAGGACAAGAAGACCCUAUAGAGCUUAAUUACAAUGGUUAAAUAGUAUAACCAAAAAAUUCGGUUGGGGCGACCAUGGGUACAAUUAAUCACCCAAGUAAAUAAGACACAUAUGUCAAAUAUUUGAUCCUGAAAAUCAGAUUAAAAAAAUAAGCUACCUUAGGGAUAACAGGCUAAUCCCACUAAAGAGUCCUUAUCAAUAGUGGGGGUUGGCACCUCGAUGUUGGCUUAGGGUAUCUUUACGGCGCAAAAGUCGUAAAUAGACGGUUUGUUCAACCAAUAAAACCCUACGUGAUCU